RNAcentral lists this ribosomal RNA (498 nucleotides) under uncultured bacterium. Its description in RNAcentral is "bacterial SSU rRNA". It matches the Rfam family "Bacterial small subunit ribosomal RNA", at positions 899 to 1397 of the family's 1533-position model. The record is from RNAcentral.
ACUCAAAGGAAUUGACGGGGGCCCGCACAAGCGGUGGAGCAUGUGGUUUAAUUCGAUGCAACGCGAAGAACCUUACCAGGUCUUGACAUCUGUAGAACCUUUAGGAAACUAGAGGGUGCCUUCGGGAGCUACAAGACAGGUGGUGCAUGGUUGUCGUCAGCUCGUGUCGUGAGAUGUUGGGUUAAGUCCCGCAACGAGCGCAACCCUUGCUAUUAGUUGCUAACAUUAACGAUGAGCACUCUAAUGGGACUGCCCGUGACAAGCGGGAGGAAGGUGGGGAUGACGUCAAAUCAUCAUGCCCUUUAUGAUCUGGGCUACACACGUGCUACAAUGGAUGGUACAGAGAGCAGCAAAGCCGCGAGGUAGAGCGAAUCUCAUAAAGCCAUUCUCAGUUCGGAUUGCAGUCUGCAACUCGACUGCAUGAAGUCGGAAUCGCUAGUAAUCGCGAAUCAGCAUGUCGCGGUGAAUGCGUUCCCGGGCCUUGUACACACCGCCCGU